This 197-nucleotide unclassified non-coding RNA is filed under the name uncultured Basidiomycota. RNAcentral describes it as "sequence contains ITS1". The record is from RNAcentral. Lineage: Eukaryota; Fungi; Basidiomycota.
ACGAGUUUUUGAAACGGGUUGUAGCUGGCUUCUUAACGGAAGCAUGUGCACGCCUGACUCAUCCACUCUCAAACCCCUGUGCACUUGUUGUAGGCUUGGUUUUUUGAAGGAUCUUUAAUGGUCUAGAAAAUGGCCUUGUCUAUGUUUUUACAAACGCUUCAGUCAAAGAAUGUAACUUGCGUGUAACGCAUUGAAUA